Non-coding RNA from Nothobranchius furzeri (turquoise killifish), 5218 nucleotides. The record is from RefSeq and is a predicted model, not a curated record. Lineage: Eukaryota; Metazoa; Chordata; Actinopteri; Cyprinodontiformes; Nothobranchiidae.
CUUUGUUGUUAGCAGCCAACUUCAGGACCGCGCCGCCGGAGAGCAUCUGAAGCAUAAAGAGACUGGCUCAUGAUGGCGUUGUGCAGCAUCAGCCUACAGGACGUAGGGAUGACGGUCAUGCUGGCGUCAGACAGAACCUUGAAGGGUGGAUAGGUGCUGUCGUUCCUGAUCACAGAGAAAGAUGAAAAUUGAGCCUCCUGUUGAGAAACACUUUGACCUGGUAAGAAAAAACACACAAACAUGAUGUAGUUAAAGUUUCUCUUUACUGUUUUAGAUGACAGAGGAGUCCAUUCUCUUAAUGUUAUUGGUCUAAACUACCAAAAUCUAGUCUAAUAGACUCAAGGACAUCAAGGACUCAAGUCACCCCAGCCAUAAACUGUUCAGACUACUUCCAUCAGGAAGGAGGUUCUGCAGCAUCCGGUCCAGAACCAGCAGACUGAGAGACAGCUUUUUCCAUCAGGCCAUCAGACUGCUGAACACUUCACAGACACCUCACCCUCACUACUGAAACUCCAACAUUACACAUUCCAUACUGUACAUUAAUGCCACUGUUUUGCACAUACCAGCCUCUAUAUAUUUUAUAUCUCUUAUCUUAUUGUUUACUUUAUUCAUUUGUAUAUUUAGAUUAGCCAUUUUUAUAUUUUACAUGUUUUUACGUUACUGUAUUUUUGCACAACUCUGUUGCUGUGAAGCUCGCACACAAGAAUUUCACUCACAUGUACUGUACCAGUGUACCUGCACAUGUGACGUGACAAUAAAAGUGAUUUGAUUUGAUUUUUUUAAUAGCAAACAAACAAAUCAAAACAUCCCAAAUGGACUAUUUUAGUUCCUCAAAAGCACCGACCAGUGAGUAGGAGCUGAUUAAAGGGUUAAAAUCAGCUCUGAAUGAAAGAGGAAUAUUUCAAAUCCACCUGUGAGUUUCUAAAAAUGAAGUUUAAACACCAGGAAGUCAAAAACGAACCCAUCUCAUGGAGGACAUGUUUCACUCUGUUGUUGCUGUCCUGAACGUUAACAUGAGUUAAUAAAUAAAUGCUGAGAUUCUCUGUUUCUCCUGUAAACCUGAACUCAGAACGACGCUAAUUGUGUUUGAGUUGGAAAAGCGUUGGACAGACAUCUGAUCUGGCAUCCGUCAGUGUUUUUAUGUUGCUCAGAGAAGGAAGAAGUCGGUUGGAAUGUCUGCUCCAGGUAUUAUUGACAAAAUCAGCAUGCUGUUGUUUUUUGGGGAAUUUUCAAAGAAUAAAUCUGACUUUGGUGCUCACUGGGACCUUAUAAAUUUAAACGUUUGUGUUUAACCCAACUGGGCCACUCUGCAGUUCUUUACUGUAAUUAUGAUUAAAAAAGGGACGGGAGGGUCAGUCACGCGUGUGCUUACCCGCGCCGAUGUUCCUCCCAUGUUGCCCCAGUGGACCGGGCUCUCCAGGAAGACCACUUGCUCCUACAUGACCCCGAAAACCUUUAGGACCCAUUGGUCCAACCACGCCUGGACUCCCCCUGUCCCCUUUGAGCCUCAGCAGGACCGGUUGAUCCCCUGGACCGUCCACAGACACAGCUGGACACAAACACACAAAAUGUGUAGACGAAGGAAAAUCAUUUCUCAACUCCUGACAUCAGCCUGAGAAUACACAAAGACGUAUUUAGUCAAUAAACAACUCUAACCCAAGAAUUCAUAGAUUAUACUGUAUAUCAUCAAUACAUAAAUUAUGAAUGAUGAGCACAGAUUACAUGUCUCAAACACGUUCACAGUAGCAGAAACAUUUCUGUACUACAGGAAGUUGUUACCUGGCGCUCCUUUCUCUCCUUUCAUCCCAGACAGUCCGUCCCGUCCAGGAGAUCCAGCUUCUCCCGGAUGACCGUCCGUUCCUUUGCAGCCCGGAUUACAUCGGACAGCCGACAGAAACCCGGCCACACCAACCAGAACUACUAGUCCAAUAAAUCCUGCCAUGAUCCAAAACUCUGGAGGCCGAAAAUGUCAAAACAAGCAAAAAGGGCAAAAAUUAAAAGAAACACAAACGGGCAGAAAUCCACUCUGAUAAAACAGAAAUCUAAAAAUAUAUUUAUUAAAGUGAAUGAAAGAUUAAUUACCAGUAAAUGAUCAUUUAUGCAUGAGAAUAAGGUCAGAUAUUUCCCUUUGUGACUUUAAAAUAUUAAUUAAGACAUAAUCUAAAAAAUGUAAUAACAGAAAAAUCACAUACAUUUACACAAAGUUUGUUGGUGGAAUAAAAUGAAGAAUUUACUGACCGAUCUAAUAAAAAUCUUUGUGUUUCUAAAACAAAAACCAUCAAAAUGUAUAAAGUACUCAGUCAUUCAUCCCUUUUAUCAGAUUUUGCUUAAAUCCUAAAUACAACCUGCAGGAUUACAGAUUAAAAAACAAACUUUGCUAAAAAUCUGAAAUUCUUCAUUUUUUUCUUUUCUACUUUUGCUAAAAGAUUAUUUUUACUCACCAUUUGACUGUUUUGAUAAAAGGUCGAUGUUUCCUUCUUAUUUUACUGAGGAGGAAUAACUGAGUGGUUUGAGUCUGGACGCGCGCAAACACACACACACACACAUGAACAGAGUCAGACAGGAAACGAAACCCAUAAUCUGACGGGAAGAAGAACCCUCCAGAGCUGCUGACCUGAAGUCAGAUUUAUAAAAUGUUUUUGUUGUUUGAUUUUUAGCUAAUCCAGCUGUUGGUUUAAUGAGAUUAUUUACAAACAAAAUGUCAAAGUUUAUUCAGUCUGAAUCCUAAAAUCAGGACCUAAAGCUGUUACUUUGGAAAAAUCAGGAGAAUCCUAACCAGCAUCCUUCCUGAUCACACACACCUAAUAUAAAUGAAUUUUCUACACGUAAACCCUGCUUUACUAUGAUCCAUUUCCAGUUUGGGUCAAAUAUAACUGGUUUAUUUUCAGAUGAAGUGGAGAAAUGAAAAGCUGCAUGUUUAACAUUUUUUUAUUUGAGCUAAAUGAAGAGCAGGAAACAAUCACUGUUCAAGAGCAUGUUGUUUACUUUAAAAGAAAGAAAGAAAAUAGCACCUCUCGAGAUAAAAAUCAUGAGGUGCUUCACAAAUAUGAAAGGGGUUUUAAAAAAGGAUUAAAAAGUAUGGUUGAAAUGAGAAAAAAAGUAAGGACAUGGAGUGUUAAAAUGAAUAGGAAAGAGGGGAAUCAGUGGAUCCCGGGAAAGGCGGAACAGGUAGAAAGAGCAGAAUAAGGAGAGGUCACGCUGUCAGCUUCAUGUAAAAGCUUGCAUGAAAAAAUAUGAAUUGUGCAUAAAAUAUCAUUAUGUAUGAAAACUAUAAAUAUGCUGAAAAUUAAAACAUCAUUAAAUGUGUUUCUUUCUUUGUAAAAUUCAAUAUUUAUUCCUUAUCCAGGAUCCAAUUAUGCUUCAAAAUGUUCUUUCUGAAAUUUGAUCAUCAAGCAGCUUAUAGGUUAGCCUACAGAGAACUGCAACCAUGAUGAAAAGAAAACUGUUUUAUGUCUCGUUUUGAAAUCACCAUGUGGAACGCUGGAGCCACCAUCAGGGACAAGAAGAAGCUGCAGCGUGUUGCACGCUCUGCUGAGGUCAUUGGCUGCAGACACCUCCAUACACCUGUACACCUCCAGGACAUUGAGGCAUGCAGGUCGGAUAACAGCUGACCUGUCUCACCCUGGAAAGUCUUUUUGAAUCCGCACACUGGUCAUUCUGUGUGACACUUAGAAAAAUGGGUAGGACGUAGUACUCGAUGUGUACUCCAAUACAAUGAUUAAAUGAUUGAGUCACAGCGUCAGCAUUCUUUAUGGCAUUGUGCAAUUACAAAAUCAGCUAAACUUAUGGAUCUUAAGUGAUUAUAAAAUACUCAAAAGUGAUUAUUAGAUAUCAAAUAACUAUUCUAUCUCAUUGUGUGAUUAUCUGAGCCUUAAGCUGAGUGGUAGCAGGGGAUAUAACCUAACAAUAGUCACAUUUGUUAGCACUUUAUUUUGAAAUGCCACAUCAGAUCCUUAUGAAAGUCGGACAGGAUCUAGUACUCGAUGUGUACUUUAAGACUUAUGUGGACUGUUGUUGCAGAAUCAGACAGUUGAGAAAAUAAAACCAUUGGAUAUAGUAAAAUUUGUUUUUAUAGCCAACUUUGAUUGCACUUUAUUUUGAAAUGCCACAUCAGACUAGUACUCGAUGUGUACCUUUACACUGAAAUGAUGUUGCAGAAUCCGUUUUUGAGAAAUGCACCAUUGAAUAUGCUGAAAAUCGGUUUCAUAACCAACUUUGAUUGCACUUUAUUUUCAAAUGCCACAUCAGAUCCUUAUAAACUUUAGGAUGUAGUACUCGAUGUGUACUUUUACACUGAAAUGGAAAGAUGUUGCAGAAUCAGACAGUUUAAAUCUUAAAUUAAAAAGCGCAACAAUAAAUAAACACCCAAAAGUAACUACAAUACCCAAGAUGCCUUUGGUCGAGAAUGAUUGGGAAGCUCCCGUCUUUGUGAAAUAGCAUAAUAAACGAUUCUAAUGUGUUUUUGUAUGUUUUAAUCACUUAGUCAUUGGACUUCAAUUUUAACAUACUUUUGUCCUGCUUCCCUAAAUAAAUGCUAUGAUUUUAUCAUCAGGUUUGGAAAAUUAAGCAGUUUUAUUCCAUUUUCAUUUUAACAAGGAAGAAAUGUAAGGGGAUUGUUUAGAGAUUGCUUAAAGAGAAACUUUUCAGUGAACGUGAAUCUGAUCGCAGCAUGUGUUAUUGAGAAUGAACCGGAAGUUCUGGAAAUACACUAGCAAGCACUCAACAGAACCGAUGUUUGAAAACAGGUCCAACAUUACAUUAGCUGUAGGAAAACCAGGCAUCACCAAACAAUGUCAGCGCGUGAACCCAAAAUGAAACUGAUUUUUAUCUCUUAUCCAAACCAGACUUACAAACUGUAGCUAACAUGAUGCAGGUAUGACAAAUUCUGGGUAACACUGCUUCAGAACAGGCUUUUAAUAAGGCUGAGAAUGAUAUUGUCAUUUUUUACUUCCAACAAACCAAUACUUAAACUGAGCAGCAAAUACAAAAAAAAUCUUUAUUGACAUCUCUCCCUUUACAACACAACAAAAAAGGAAAGAAAACACAACUGGGAUGAUCUGUCUUUAUGCAUUUGAGCAAGUUGUGCAAAUGCUUUUAUUUUAUUUCUAUUGCAGAUUUUUGUCUGACUAAAAUAUGAGCUAAAUUCUAGUAAAUAAUCAGAAGGGAGUCAUUUUUUGUCUUUCGGCUAACAGCUGUUCGUCUUUACACUCCUCAAAAA